UACGGAGGGUGCGAGCGUUGUCCGGAAUCAUUGGGCGUAAAGGGCGCGUAGGUGGCCCGGUCAGCGUGCGGUGAAAGCUCGGGGCUCAACCCCGAGUCGGCCGUGCGAACUGCUGGGCUCGAGCACUGUAGAGGCAGGCGGAAUUCCGGGUGUAGCGGUGGAAUGCGUAGAGAUCCGGAAGAACAUCGGUGGCGAAGGCGGCCUGCUGGGCAGUAGCUGACGCUGAGGCGCGACAGCGUGGGGAGCAAACAGG
RNAcentral lists this ribosomal RNA (253 nucleotides) under uncultured bacterium. RNAcentral's name for it is "partial 16S ribosomal RNA". It matches the Rfam family "Bacterial small subunit ribosomal RNA", at positions 524 to 776 of the family's 1533-position model. The record is from RNAcentral.